GACGAACCGAGCGAACGUUGUUCGGAAUCACUGGGCUUAAAGGGCGCGUAGGCGGACUAUCAAGUCUGGGGUGAAAUCCCGCGGCUCAACCGUGGAACUGCCCCAGAUACUGACGGUCUCGAGGGAGGUAGGGGCAUGCGGAACUGUAGGUGGAGCGGUGAAAUGCGUUGAUAUCUACAGGAACUCCGGUGGCGAAAGCGGCGUGCUGGACCUCUUCUGACGCUGAGGCGCGAAAGCUAGGGGAGCAAACGGG
Molecule: ribosomal RNA, 253 nt
Filed under: uncultured bacterium
Lineage: Bacteria
Description: partial 16S ribosomal RNA
Rfam family: Bacterial small subunit ribosomal RNA
Source: RNAcentral